UACGUAGGGCGCAAGCGUUGUCCGGAAUUAUUGGGCGUAAAGAGCUCGUAGGCGGUUUGUCGCGUCUGCUGUGAAAACCUAAGGCUCAACCUUGGGCUUGCAGUGGGUACGGGCAGACUAGAGUGCGGUAGGGGUGACUGGAAUUCCUGGUGUAGCGGUGGAAUGCGCAGAUAUCAGGAGGAACACUGAUGGCGAAGGCAGGUCACUGGGCCGCAACUGACGCUGAGGAGCGAAAGCAUGGGGAGCGAACAGG
RNAcentral lists this ribosomal RNA (253 nucleotides) under uncultured bacterium. RNAcentral's name for it is "partial 16S ribosomal RNA". It matches the Rfam family "Bacterial small subunit ribosomal RNA", at positions 524 to 776 of the family's 1533-position model. The record is from RNAcentral.